AUUAAACGCUGGCGGCAUGCCUUACACAUGCAAGUCGAACGGCAGCACGGGGGCAACCCUGGUGGCGAGUGGCGGACGGGUGAGUAAUACAUCGGAACGUGCCCUGGAGUGGGGGAUAACGCAGCGAAAGCUACGCUAAUACCGCAUAUUCUGUGAGCAGGAAAGCAGGGGAUCGCAAGACCUUGCGCUUUGGGAGCGGCCGAUGUCGGAUUAGCUAGUUGGUGGGUAAAGGCCUACCAAGGCGACGAUCCGUAGCGGGUCUGAGGGGAUGAUCCGCCACACUGGGACUGAGACACGGCCCAGACUCCUACGGGAGGCAGCAGUGGGGAAUUUUGGACAAUGGGCGGAAGCCUGAUCCAGCCAUGCCGCGUGAGUGAAGAAGGCCUCGGUUGUAAG
RNAcentral lists this ribosomal RNA (396 nucleotides) under uncultured bacterium. Its description in RNAcentral is "bacterial SSU rRNA". It matches the Rfam family "Bacterial small subunit ribosomal RNA", at positions 29 to 429 of the family's 1533-position model. The record is from RNAcentral.